UUAAAAAUAAGUCACUAUUUAAAUAUAAAUUAAAUUUUUCAGAUGUGACAUUGGACGAUUUUGCCAACAGCAAAAUAUCGACGACUAGAGUCAGAAAACCGACCACAAACUUUUUGGCUAGAGAAGUGAAGAAUUUAAAAUCGGUUGAUAAAUUGUGGUACGAAAAGGAUCUGGAAGAAUUUGACGAUGAUUUUGAUGCAAACAAUGAUAAAGUAGAAUCGGUUGAUGUUUCAUGUGAUAAAAAAAAAGGUACAAAGAAGAAAGA
This is a long non-coding RNA of Centruroides sculpturatus (bark scorpion), 265 nucleotides long. RefSeq lists it as uncharacterized. The transcript is spliced from 3 exons. NCBI's taxonomy places the organism in Eukaryota, Metazoa, Arthropoda, Arachnida, Scorpiones, Buthidae. The record is from RefSeq and is a predicted model, not a curated record.